RNAcentral lists this unclassified non-coding RNA (1235 nucleotides) under Hevea brasiliensis (rubber tree). The record is from RNAcentral. Lineage: Eukaryota; Viridiplantae; Streptophyta; Magnoliopsida; Malpighiales; Euphorbiaceae.
GGAGACUUUAAUUUCAAAAGUUCUGCACAUUCCUUUCCUUCACUAAAAGGUUGCAGCCUGCACACAUUAAAUAUAUCAGACAACCUGAAAAGGAAUCACAAUCAGACGCCAGAAAUUUGUGCAAUUUAUCCAAAAUAAUUACUCUCAGUUGCAUAAGCUCAGGGGAAUUCCCAGAUCUCAGUGGUUUUUUAUUAGAUGAAAGGAUCUAAACGAAAAAUAGAGAGAAACAUUGCCAUAGACAUUCAACCUAGGUGCUUGUGGAAGAAGUUCAAAGAGGACCAGGAAACGUCCCAUUCUCCCUCUGUUCAUUCCACCUCUCAAUCUGCAACAAUUAACACAAAUAUCACAAAAUUAAUUACUAAGAUGGCAAAGAUUCUCUUUUUUUAAAUAAAUAAAUACAUCCACACUACUAGCAGUUCAUGACAGCUAAUUUAAGCUACCUCAUGCAUAAGCACCACAAAAAAAAAAAGGGGUUCGAAUUAAAAUCAUUCAAUAACAUUUCAAUAAUGAACACAACAACAUGGCAUCAAACAUGGGUAGGAUACAACUAAAUAGAAACUCCAAACUCACUGAAAGCCCAUAUUAUAAUCCCCUUUCACCACAACUACUAAAAGCCCAUCCAUGAUCCAUCAGUAUCUUAAAUUCAUCACAUCAUACUACCACAAGCUGCCUGCUUCAACAGCCAAUGUGAAUAAUGAAUUCAAAAUUUUCAACUCAAUGAAGAAUAAAUUUUGCUGCAGAACAAGGAAAAUAAUUGAAAAGGUCCAGCAACCAUAUUUUCGGAAUCAUAAAGUAAUAAUCCAUCAAACAGAUACUGAAAAUGCAUAAAAGUUACUGUGAUAAAUGACCAAGUCAACCUUAAUACCAACGCAAUUAAUGCUGGUUACAUUUAUCAUUUCCAGCAUUCCACUUGAUUAUGGGUUAUAUCUUAAAAAAGGUUUAGAGCAGUGAUGAUGUGAAGAUGGUAGUUGAAUUAGAAAGAUAUGAGUCGGAUCAUUUUGAGUUUAGGUCAUUUCUAACUAUUUUAUUUAUGACUCAAACUCUAAGUGGAUUUGGAGAGACUUUUUUGGGUGGGAGAAAUAUUAGAGGUAUAUUUCCUAUAGAGAGUAUAACUCCUAUUUUAGUAUUAUUCUUAAAUUGGAUGAGAUUCCUAAUUAGAUUAAGAUUGGAGUGACUAACACUAAAAAUAGGAGUAUUGUAGAAAAAUUAUUUGGCUUUGCCCAUGAAGAGUGGUU